RNAcentral lists this ribosomal RNA (367 nucleotides) under uncultured organism. RNAcentral's name for it is "bacterial LSU rRNA". It matches the Rfam family "Bacterial large subunit ribosomal RNA", at positions 2099 to 2465 of the family's 2925-position model. The record is from RNAcentral.
CUUUACUGUAACUUGGCAUUGAUAUUUGGUGAAGGAUGUGUAGGAUAGGUGGGAGGCUUUGAAGUUGCAACGCCAGUUGUGAUGGAGCCAUUGUUGAAAUACCACCCUUUCUUUACUAAGUAUCUAACUGAUCCAAUGAAUCUUGGAUCAGGACCAUGUCAGGCGGGCGGUUUGACUGGGGCGGUCGCCUCCCAAAGUGUAACGGAGGCGCGCGAAGGUUCCCUCAGCAUGAUUGGAAACCAUGCGUAGAGUGUAAAGGCAUAAGGGAGCUUAACUGUAAGACUGACAAGUCGAGCAGAUACGAAAGUAGGUCUUAGUGAUCCGGCGGUAGCGAGUGGAAGCGCCGUCGCUCAACGGAUAAAAGGUA